This 256-nucleotide ribosomal RNA is filed under the name uncultured bacterium. RNAcentral's name for it is "partial 16S ribosomal RNA". It matches the Rfam family "Bacterial small subunit ribosomal RNA", at positions 524 to 776 of the family's 1533-position model. The record is from RNAcentral.
UACGUAGGGUGCAAGCGUUGUCCGGAAUUUAUUGGGCGUAAAGAGCUCGUAGGCGGUCUGUCGCGUCGGCUGUGAAAUCCCGAGGCUCAACCUCGGGUCUGCAGUCGAUACGGGCAAACUGGAGUACUGCAGGGGAGACUGGAAUUCCUGGUGUAGCGGUGGAAUGCGCAGAUAUCAGGAGGAACACCGAUGGCGAAGGCAGAUCUCUGGGCCGUAACUGACGCUGAGGAGCGAAAAGCGUGGGGGAGCGAACAGG